GCAGUCGAGCGAGACCUUCGGGUCUAGCGGCGGACGGGUGAGUAACGCGUGGGAACGUGCCCUUUGCUACGGAAUAGUCCCGGGAAACUGGGUUUAAUACCGUAUGUGCCCUUCGGGGGAAAGAUUUAUCGGCAAAGGAUCGGCCCGCGUUGGAUUAGGUAGUUGGUGGGGUAAUGGCCUACCAAGCCGACGAUCCAUAGCUGGUUUGAGAGGAUGAUCAGCCACACUGGGACUGAGACACGGCCCAGACUCCUACGGGAGGCAGCAGUGGGGAAUCUUAGACAAUGGGGGCAACCCUGAUCUAGCCAUGCCGCGUGAGUGAUGAAGGCCUUAGGGUUGUAAAGCUCUUUCAGCUGGGAAGAUAAUGACGGUACCAGCAGAAGAAGCCCCGGCUAACUCCGUGCCAGCAGCCGCGGUAAUACGGAGGGGGCUAGCGUUGUUCGGAAUUACUGGGCGUAAAGCGCACGUAGGCGGACUGGAAAGUUGGGGGUGAAAUCCCGGGGCUCAACCUCGGAACUGCCUUCAAAACUAUCAGUCUGGAGUUCGAGAGAGGUGAGUGGAAUACCGAGUGUAGAGGUGAAAUUCGUAGAUAUUCGGUGGAACACCAGUGGCGAAGGCGGCUCACUGGCUCGAUACUGACGCUGAGGUGCGAAAGCGUGGGGAGC
Molecule: ribosomal RNA, 665 nt
Filed under: uncultured bacterium
Lineage: Bacteria
Description: bacterial SSU rRNA
Rfam family: Bacterial small subunit ribosomal RNA
Source: RNAcentral